ACUUAGUGGCGGACGGGUGAGUAACGCGUGGGUAACCUGCCGUAUGCAGGGGGACAACAGCUGGAAACGGCUGCUAAUACCGCAUAAGCGCACAGUACUGCAUGGUACAGUGUGAAAAGUUCUGGCGGCAUACGAUGGACCCGCGUCUGAUUAGCUAGUUGGUGAGGUAACGGCCCACCAAGGCGACGAUCAGUAGCCGGCCUGAGAGGGUGAACGGCCACAUUGGGACUGAGACACGGCCCAAACUCCUACGGGAGGCAGCAGUGGGGAAUAUUGGACAAUGGGGGAAACCCUGAUCCAGCGACGCCGCGUGAGUGAAGAAGUAUUUCGGUAUGUAAAGCUCUAUCAGCAGGGAAGAAAAUGACGGUACCUGACUAAGAAGCCCCGGCUAAAUACGUGCCAGCAGCCGCGGUAAUACGUAUGGUGCAAGCGUUAUCCGGAUUUACUGGGUGUAAAGGGAGCGUAGACGGCUGUGCAAGUCUGAUGUGAAAACCCGGGGCUCAACCCCGGGACUGCAUUGGAAACUGUGCAGCUAGAGUGCCGGAGAGGUAAGCGGAAUUCCUAGUGUAGCGGUGAAAUGCGUAGAUAUUAGGAGGAACACCAGUGGCGAAGGCGGGUUACUGGACGAUACCUGACGCUGAGACACGAAAGUGUGGGGAGCAAACAGGAUUAGAUACCCUGGUAGUCCACACCGUAAACGAUGAAUGCUAGGUGUGGGGGUGCAAACCUCCGUGCCGGCAGUAAACACAAUAAGCAUUCCACCUGGGGAGUACGGCCGCAAGGUUGAAACUCAAAGGAAUUGACGGGAGCCCGCACAAGCAGUGGAGUAUGUGGUUUAAUUCGACGCAACGCGAAGAACCUUACCAGAGUUUGACAUCCCGAGAAUCCGACGUAAUGGUUGGAGUGCCCUUCGGGGAAUUCGGUGACAGGUGGUGCAUGGUUGUCGUCAGCUCGUGUCGUGAGAUGUUGGGUUAAGUCCCGCAACGAGCGCAACCCCUACGUUUAGUUGCUACGCAAGAGCACUCUAGACGGACUGCCGUUGACAAAACGGAGGAAGGCGGGGAUGACGUCAAAUCAUCAUGCCCCUUACACUCUGGGCUACACACGUACUACAAUGACGAAGACAAAGGGAAGCCAAGCCGCGAGGUGGAGCAAAUCCCAUAAAUGUCGUCUCAGUUCGGACUGCAGGCUGCAACCCGCCUGCACGAAGUUGGAAUUGCUAGUAAUCGCGGGUCAGCAUACCGCGGUGAAUAUGUUCCCGGGCUUUGCACACACCGCCCGUCA
RNAcentral lists this ribosomal RNA (1284 nucleotides) under uncultured bacterium. RNAcentral's name for it is "bacterial SSU rRNA". It matches the Rfam family "Bacterial small subunit ribosomal RNA", at positions 90 to 1399 of the family's 1533-position model. The record is from RNAcentral.